Molecule: non-coding RNA, 192 nt
Filed under: Clostridium fallax
Lineage: Bacteria; Bacillati; Bacillota; Clostridia; Eubacteriales; Clostridiaceae
Description: 6S / SsrS RNA
Rfam family: 6S / SsrS RNA
About the family: E. coli 6S RNA was the first non coding RNA to be sequenced, but its function was unknown until recently. It consists of 184 nucleotides that fold into an extended hairpin structure with a large single-stranded internal bulge.
Source: Rfam by way of RNAcentral
CAGAUCCUGAUGUGUACGCGAAGCUUAUGGUAUUCAACCUACAGUAUAAUUACGGGAUUGGCAAUAUUUCUAUGGAUGUCAGGCUUCACUUAGAUUCACUUUGUGGCAGAAGAAGGCUGAAGUAGGAUGCGACGAACCCACCUGCGAGAUGCAGGUAUGAAUUCUUAAGCGUGACGGCACGUUGGGUAUAUA